UUGACCUCGGAUCAGGUAGGGAUACCCGCUGAACUUAAGCAUAUCAAUAAGCGGAGGAAAAGAAACCAACAGGGAUUGCCCCAGUAACGGCGAGUGAAGCGGCAAGAGCUCAAAUUUGAAAGCUGGCUCCUUCGGGGUCCGCAUUGUAAUUUGCAGAGGAUGUUUCGGGAGCGGCUCCCAUCUAAGUGCCCUGGAACGGGCCGUCAUAGAGGGUGAGAAUCCCGUAUGGGAUGGGGUGUCCGCGCCCGUGUGAAACUCCUUCGACGAGUCGAGUUGUUUGGGAAUGCAGCUCUAAAUGGGUGGUAAAUUUCAUCUAAAGCUAAAUAUUGGCCGGAGACCGAUAGCGCACAAGUAGAGUGAUCGAAAGAUGAAAAGCACUUUGAAAAGAGAGUUAAAAAGCACGUGAAAUUGUUGAAAGGGAAGCGUUUGCGACCAGACUCGCCGACGGGGUUCAGCCUGCCUUCGGGCAGGUGUACUUCCCCGCCGGCGGGCCAGCGUCGGUUUGGGCGGCCGGUCAAAGGCCCUGGGAAUGUAACGCCUCUCGGGGCGUCUUAUAGCCCAGGGUGUCAUGCGGCCUGCCCGGACCGAGGAACGCGCUUCGGCUCGGACGCUGGCAUAAUGGUCGUAAACGACC
This 634-nucleotide ribosomal RNA is filed under the name Penicillium hirayamae. Its description in RNAcentral is "eukaryotic LSU rRNA". It matches the Rfam family "Eukaryotic large subunit ribosomal RNA", at positions 1 to 649 of the family's 3401-position model. The record is from RNAcentral. Lineage: Eukaryota; Fungi; Ascomycota; Eurotiomycetes; Eurotiales; Aspergillaceae.